Molecule: ribosomal RNA, 484 nt
Filed under: uncultured bacterium
Lineage: Bacteria
Description: partial 16S ribosomal RNA
Rfam family: Bacterial small subunit ribosomal RNA
Source: RNAcentral
AUUGAACGCUGGCGGCAGGCCUAACACAUGCAAGUCGAGCGGAUGAAGGGAGCUUGCUCCUGGAUUCAGCGGCGGACGGGUGAGUAAUGCCUAGGAAUCUGCCUGGUAGUAGGGGAUAACGUCCGGAAACGGGCGCUAAUACCGCAUACGUCCUGCGGGAGAAAGUGGGGGAUCUUCGGACCUCACGCUAUCAGAUGAGCCUAGGUCGGAUUAGCUAGUUGGUGGGGUAAAGGCCUACCAAGGCGACGAUCCGUAACUGGUCUGAGAGGAUGAUCAGUCACCCUGGAACUGAGACACGGUCCAGACUCCUACGGGAGGGAGCAGUCAGGAAUAUUGGGCAAUGGGCGAAAGCCUGCUCCAGCCAUGCCGCGUGUGUGAAGAAGAUCUUCGGAUUGUAAAGCACUUUAAGUUGGGAGGAAGGGCAGUAAGUUAAUACCUAGCUGUUUUGACGUUACCAACAGAAUAAGCACCGGCUAACUUCGUG